GACAAUUGCAACAUCUUGGUGCAGGAGUUCAUGGACUUGACUGAGGCCACUGCACAGAUUGAGAAAACCACAAUGAACAUCUGUCUCCAGAGAUGCGCCAGGCAAUGACUUUUCUGAUGUUGGCAUCAUCAUCGAGGGUGAUUCAAUGGGUGGUAAUGGAGUUGGAUGCAACUCAGCUCUCAAGAAAAGCUCACAACUAAGACAAAACUGCUCCUGCAAGGAAAGCUCACUGUUAUGCAUGUGAGGUGAUCAGCUCUAGGUGAGAGGACAUUUAAAUCUCACACUUGUUCUGCUGCAUUUUUGAAGCUCAAUUCCAGGAGCAGAUCGCAGGGUUCAUUUUUAUAUACUCUGCAACUGCCAUGAGGACGAGCCGUUUUUGUUGUUGUUGUUUGUUUUUCCUUUUGCUCUGUACAAGUUCUCUGUUUGUCUGUUUGGCAGCAUUUUUAAAUUUCUCUUUGUAUUUUUUCUUUCUUUUACUAGUGAAGAGAUGUAGCAUGAACAGUUAUACAGUCUAAAUAUCCCAUAUGGGUCGUGUGAAAUGGUAUUUUCAGUUUCAUUCAGUUGAAGUAAAGAACGUUGAAUAUUUCUAAGUGUGCUGUUUUGAACCAAGAUGUCACAGUAUGAUCAGUGCUGUAAUUUUUGACAGUCACUGUAUCAAUGUUAUUUUUGCAUCUCUUGAAUAAAGUUUUUGACCUGCA
Molecule: long non-coding RNA, 698 nt
Organism: Astatotilapia calliptera (eastern happy)
Lineage: Eukaryota; Metazoa; Chordata; Actinopteri; Cichliformes; Cichlidae
Source: Ensembl